This 449-nucleotide ribosomal RNA is filed under the name uncultured bacterium. RNAcentral describes it as "bacterial SSU rRNA". It matches the Rfam family "Bacterial small subunit ribosomal RNA", at positions 354 to 796 of the family's 1533-position model. The record is from RNAcentral.
GUGGGGAAUUGUUCGCAAUGGGCGCAAGCCUGACGACGCAACGCCGCGUGGAGGAUGAAGGUCUUCGGAUUGUAAACUCCUGUUGCUCGGGACGAAAAGCUCAGACCUAAUACGUCGGAGUCUGACGGUACCGAGUGAGGAAGCCCCGGCUAACUCUGUGCCAGCAGCCGCGGUAAUACAGAGGGGGCAAGCGUUGUUCGGAAUUACUGGGCGUAAAGGGCGCGUAGGCGGCCUGCUAAGUCGAACGUGAAAUCCCUGGGCUCAACCCAGGAACUGCGUCCGAUACUGGUUGGCUUGAAUCCGGGAGAGGGAUGUGGAAUUCCAGGUGUAGCGGUGAAAUGCGUAGAUAUCUGGAGGAACACCGGUGGCGAAGGCGACAUCCUGGACCGGCAUUGACGCUGAGGCGCGAAAGCCAGGGGAGCAAACGGGAUUAGAAACCCUUGUAGUCC